RNAcentral lists this ribosomal RNA (1354 nucleotides) under Ambulyx dohertyi. Its description in RNAcentral is "16S ribosomal RNA". The stretch from base 1090 to 1249 matches the Rfam family "Eukaryotic large subunit ribosomal RNA", at positions 2825 to 2984 of the family's 3401-position model. Lineage: Eukaryota; Metazoa; Arthropoda; Insecta; Lepidoptera; Sphingidae. The record is from RNAcentral.
GGGGUUAAAAUUAAUAAAUAAAUAUAAUUAAUAAAAGAAAUUUUAAUAUUAAAAUAUUUAAUGGGGGUUAAAGUAUUUUUAAUAGAAAAAAUUUGAAAUUUUAUAGUUUAUAAGUAUUGUAAAAGAAGUUUGAAAUAAAUUUAAAAUAAAUUUUUUAAAAAGUAAAUUUAAUUUAUUGUAUCUUGUGUAUCAGAGUUUAUUAAAAUCUUUUUAUGUGUUAAAUUUCUCGAAUUUAAAAGAGUUAAUUAAUUAUAAAAUUUAUUGUUUCAUAAAUAUUUUAAAUAGUUAAUUAGAAAUGAAAUGUUAUUCGUUUUUAAAUAUAUCUAGUUUUUUAAGAAAAAAAUUUAAUUUUUAAUUAAAUUAAAAAUUUAUUAAAUAAAUUAAUUAAUUUUUAUAAUUUAAUUUAAUACUUUAGGGGAUAAGCUUUAAAUUAAAUUUUUAUAAUUAAUUAUUUUUAAAUUGAAAUUUUUAUAAUUUAUAUUGUUAAUAAAUUUUAAUUUAUUAUAAAUAAUUUCAUUAAAUUUAAAAAUUUAAUUAAUAAUUUAAUAUUUUAUUAAAAAAUAUUUAUUAAUAAAUUAUAUUUAGUUAUAAUGAUAAAAUUAGUAUAUAAAUAUUUUUAAUAAUUAGAAUUUAAAUUUUAUGAUUAAUUAUUUUAAAGGAAUUCGACAAAAAUUUAUAUUCACCUGUUUAUCAAAAACAUGUCUUUUUGUUUAAUAAUUUAAAGUCUAAUCUGCCCACUGAUAUUUAUUAAAGGGCUGCAGUAUAUUGACUGUACAAAGGUAGCAUAAUCAAUAGUCUCUUAAUUGGUGACUUGUAUGAAAGAUUGGAUGAAAUAUAUAUUGUCUCUAUAAUAUAUAAUUGAAUUUAAUUUUUUAUUUAAAAAGUUAAAAUAAUUUAAAAAGACGAGAAGACCCUAUAGAGUUUUAUAUUUAUUUUAUUUUAAAUUAUAAUUUAAUUAAAUUAAUUUAAAUUUAAGUUAAUUAUUUUAUUGGGGUGAUGAAAAAAUUAAUAAAACUUUUUUUUAAAUUAAUCAUUAAUUUAUGAAUUAUUGAUCCAUUAUUAUUGAUUAUAAGAAAAAAUUACCUUAGGGAUAACAGCGUAAUUUUUUUUUUUAGUACUUAUAAAAAAAAGAGUUUGCGACCUCGAUGUUGGAUUAAGAUAAAAUUUAAAUGCAAAAGUUUAAAAUUUUUGAUCUGUUCGAUCAUUAAAAUCUUACAUGAUCUGAGUUCAAACCGGUGUAAGCCAGGUUGGUUUCUAUCUUUUAAAAAUUUUAAUAUUUUAGUACGAAAGGAUUAAAUAUUACAAUUAAAUUGAAUAUUUUUGAAUUUUAUUAAUAGUUAAAAUUAUAUUUUUA